UCUUCGCUAGUAUAUCGGUUAGUAUAACCGCCUCUCAUAUGGAGAGAGUCAAGGUCCUCUGGACGACGACACAUCGCGGUAGAGCAGGGUUCAACUCCCUGGCGGAGAA
Apiotrichum porosum is the source of this 109-nucleotide non-coding RNA. Lineage: Eukaryota; Fungi; Basidiomycota; Tremellomycetes; Trichosporonales; Trichosporonaceae. The record is from the annotation of a RefSeq genome assembly.